GAAUUGUUCGCAAUGGGCGCAAGCCUGACGACGCAACGCCGCGUGGAGGAUGAAGGUCUUCGGAUUGUAAACUCCUGUUGCCCGGGACGAAUAGCUUCGACCUAAUACGUCGAAGUCUGACGGUACCGGGUGAGGAAGCCCCGGCUAACUCUGUGCCCGCCGCCGCGGUAAGACAGAGGGGGCAAGCGUUGUUCGGAAUUACUGGGCGUAAAGGGCGCGUAGGCGGCCUGUUAAGUCGAACGUGAAAUCCCCGAGCUCAACUCGGGAACUGCGUCCGAUACUGGCAGGCUUGAAUCCGGGAGAGGGAUGCGGAAUUCCAGGUGUAGCGGUGAAAUGCGUAGAUAUCUGGAGGAACACCGGUGGCGAAGGCGGCAUCCUGGACCGGCAUUGACGCUGAGGCGCGAAAGCCAGGGGAGCAAACAGG
This 424-nucleotide ribosomal RNA is filed under the name uncultured bacterium. RNAcentral's name for it is "bacterial SSU rRNA". It matches the Rfam family "Bacterial small subunit ribosomal RNA", at positions 359 to 776 of the family's 1533-position model. The record is from RNAcentral.